CCAGACACGGUUAGUGGGGUUUUUACACAGCGAAGUAUAAUCAGGCCUUUCAGCUUUUAAUUUUUAAUGCUUAUUUUUUUUGCUGCAGCUGCUCUUGUGCUCUCACUUUCAGAGGAUGUCAGACUCCUGAAAAGAGAAAUUGUGUUGGUUUAGGUACAGUAGAGCUUACAAACACUACGCUUGGGGUGAGAGACACGGGCUUGGUCUUUAUCAGGAAAGGUUUGGUGUAUGAAGAGAGUGGAGCCGGGUCCAUGGCUGAUACAAGCGGCCCUGACAACGAGCAAGUUUUCUCCGAGGUGCAACAGCCGUGCUUGCGGGGUGUGACGUACGACCAGGUGGCCCUUUGGAGGGACGCUGGCGCGGCUCCGCCUGUGGGCACCGCGCAUCUCUGGAACGGGACCAGCGUGGCAGCGGGCGAGCGCUGCCUGGAACCGGUUUCCCUUUUUUUUCCUGAUUCUCCCUCCCGUCCCACUGGUGCGGCUGGAGCAGGCGAACGUGUGUGGUGUUUAGACACCUGCCGGGCCAAAGCGCAGCAGAUGGCAAGUCUGCAGACAGGCAGGUAGAACAUUCGGCAGAAGGGGGUUGUGGCACAAGCUGCAGCUGCGGAGCCGGUAGCAGUGGAGGCAGCACAUUUCAAAUCUGCUUCAUUGCAAACUGUAUCUUUCAGUCUCUCUGAUGUCUCCGUCCUUUGGCUGUAACAUUCUCCCAAGCGUGGUGGCUUUAUACCACAGAGGUGGCAGCUGUGUCAAAAGCAGUUGUGCCACAUCACUUAACAGACAGUAAUUGCCUCCAGGAAUCUUGAUCUGCUGCAUCAGACAUCGCUUCUUUGAUGAUUAAAGCUGAAAAGACUCUUGUGGAUAUAACCUGAAAUACACUCUGUUGCAGGACCAUGCCAAAAGCAUAGUGCUGAAGUCCUGCAAGAAAACACAGCCAUACAUUGUCUUGAUUUACUUUAAAGGAAACAAAGAAGACAACUCAUAUUCUAGAUGAACAAGGCUUAUGUGACAGCGCUGGUUAUUUUUAAGUCCGAUGGCCAGUUUCAGUCAAAGUGCACAGGGGUAGUGCUCAUCAGAGGGGUCUGACACACUCAGAAGAGAAAGAGGUGGAGUGUCCCGUGAGGAUUUCUGCUCAGAAAGGGGCUGCCACCGAAGAUCAGCUCUUCAACAGCAGAGAGCGCACGUGCAGGAGCCGCUGCGACUGCGUGGGUGCUGCAGCUCUCACGGGUCUCGACGCCAAAGUUAACCAGCCAUAAGACACAAACUGGUGCUGUAUGUCUGUCUGGUCAAAAGAGAAACCGUCCUUCUUUGUCUGAAGCGCAGCCAGAAGUGAAACAUGCAUCUUAGACAUACCUGUUGCUCCCUGGGUGCAGAUAUGGUCUCAAGAGGGGACGCUGAGCCUGGGAUCCCCUGUGCAGUCACAAAGAACAGGGCUCUGCACACCAGGCCUGGCUUACUCUUGUCAUAUCCCUUAGGAUUUUUUUUAAAUGAUUAGUGGUUUGGGGGCUGGCACCUGCAUUUUCCAUUAGCUUGAAAUCCUGAGAAGAAGCAUGAGGUAAUGGGAAAGUGUGCACUUACUAUCUAGCUCAUUCAUUCAGAAAACACUAUGGAGAAAGUGCUUUGUGAGAGCAUUUUCUUGGAAGCUGGGCCUAUUUGUGUCUGGUGAGCUGUUUAAAAAUUGCUGAAGACUUUAAAAAGACUUUAAAAACUAUUAAAAAAUACUAUGUGAAGCAUAAUAGUUAAAUAGAUACAGUUGUAGUUAAACAGUAGAAAGGCAGAUUUUACUUUUGACUGUAAAACCAAUAUUAGAACAAGCUACAAACUAAUUUACAAUGUUCUACAGCAACAAUUAGUGGCCUAGAAGAUGACUUCUCAUUAGGAUGACUAUCAGUGGUAGGAGGAUCUGACAGGUGGCUGAAUCAUGCCCAGUGUAGUCAUGCUGAUCUUCACAUGUACAUGCAUCUACCCCAUUUAUUGCUCAGUCAAAUUCCUCCUUUUAUAAUUCUGGAUUGCCACAUUUGCAAUUAUAUUGCAUCCGGUGGAGAGCUCUGAGAUCUGUAAUUACCAAAUACAUCUACAGCAGUCACACAGCAACAGAAGUGACGCUCCUGUACUCAUGAAUGUAAUAUCAAAGCACCGCAUGUGAUACCCUCCUACUUGCCCGUGUAGCUCAGGGUACGGCUGAAAUGAGAGGUGUUUACUGGACAGCUUAUUCUGUGAAGAGCCCUCCCAGUGUAAUGAUGCACAACUGAUAAAUGAGCGGGGGAAACAGACUCAGCUCAUAUGAGCCAAACAGCAUAGAACUGAGUUGUUCUGGAACGUGAUGUUCUUUGCAAUAUCUUCCGUGGCUGCUUGUCUACCUGUAUACGCAUCUGCUGGGAUCCUGGCACAGCCAGAAAGCGGGGGGAGUUGACUGACCCAUGAGCAUGGUUUCUCUAUAGAACGGGCAGAAGACGUUCAUAUUUAUAAAUCGCCUUGUUGUCAGGAGUGAGUGCCCCCCCCACAGCCCAGUCUGUAAGAGGGAAGUGUUAGUAAACAAUAAUCACAGUGGCAGGGAAUUGCCAGUGUAAUGACUGUGUGUAUCCCAACUGCAGGACCCCAUCAAAGCACGAGGGGCCUGUAUCAUCCCCUCUGUCUUUCCUGAGCCCAGCUCAGAGCCACAGAGCUGCCUGUGGGGCCUCCCCUGGCCGUGGCACGGUCUCCAGGUGGGCUCUGGUGCUCCACUGGAAGUGGGGAUGUAACAAGUAGUUCCGAGAAAUGUUUGUUCAUUAAAGCUCCUGGAGAUGUUUGUUUGAGGUCUGAGAAGAGUUCGUAUGCUUACUUGCUUUGUCCUGCUUGACGUAUUUACCUAACAAGGAGAUGUUUGUUUGAGUUCUUA
Molecule: long non-coding RNA, 2874 nt
Organism: Columba livia (rock pigeon)
Lineage: Eukaryota; Metazoa; Chordata; Aves; Columbiformes; Columbidae
Exons: 5
Source: RefSeq, a predicted model, not a curated record